RNAcentral lists this ribosomal RNA (800 nucleotides) under Pseudoalteromonas distincta. Its description in RNAcentral is "bacterial SSU rRNA". It matches the Rfam family "Bacterial small subunit ribosomal RNA", at positions 255 to 1047 of the family's 1533-position model. Lineage: Bacteria; Pseudomonadati; Pseudomonadota; Gammaproteobacteria; Alteromonadales; Pseudoalteromonadaceae. The record is from RNAcentral.
AGGUAAUGGCUCACCAAGGCGACGAUCCCUAGCUGGUUUGAGAGGAUGAUCAGCCACACUGGGACUGAGACACGGCCCAGACUCCUACGGGAGGCAGCAGUGGGGAAUAUUGCACAAUGGGCGCAAGCCUGAUGCAGCCAUGCCGCGUGUGUGAAGAAGGCCUUCGGGUUGUAAAGCACUUUCAGUCAGGAGGAAAGGUUAGUAGUUAAUACCUGCUAGCUGUGACGUUACUGACAGAAGAAGCACCGGCUAACUCCGUGCCAGCAGCCGCGGUAAUACGGAGGGUGCGAGCGUUAAUCGGAAUUACUGGGCGUAAAGCGUACGCAGGCGGUUUGUUAAGCGAGAUGUGAAAGCCCCGGGCUCAACCUGGGAACUGCAUUUCGAACUGGCAAACUAGAGUGUGAUAGAGGGUGGUAGAAUUUCAGGUGUAGCGGUGAAAUGCGUAGAGAUCUGAAGGAAUACCGAUGGCGAAGGCAGCCACCUGGGUCAACACUGACGCUCAUGUACGAAAGCGUGGGGAGCAAACGGGAUUAGAUACCCCGGUAGUCCACGCCGUAAACGAUGUCUACUAGAAGCUCGGAGCCUCGGUUCUGUUUUUCAAAGCUAACGCAUUAAGUAGACCGCCUGGGGAGUACGGCCGCAAGGUUAAAACUCAAAUGAAUUGACGGGGGCCCGCACAAGCGGUGGAGCAUGUGGUUUAAUUCGAUGCAACGCGAAGAACCUUACCUACACUUGACAUACAGAGAACUUACCAGAGAUGGUUUGGUGCCUUCGGGAACCUCUGAUACAGGUGCUGCAUG